RNAcentral lists this long non-coding RNA (988 nucleotides) under Olea europaea (common olive). RNAcentral's name for it is "long non-coding RNA (OEUR_LNC007272)". Lineage: Eukaryota; Viridiplantae; Streptophyta; Magnoliopsida; Lamiales; Oleaceae. The record is from RNAcentral.
AGAAUGAAGAAGAACUGCUUUUCUACCUAAAAGUGACACCAAAAAGACAAAACCCACCUGAAUACCGAUAUGAAAUAAUCUUCAUAUUCGACUCUUCAACAACAACUGAUGUUGAUUCUUCAAAUACAAUCAUGAAACUAGAUCAAAUGUUGUUGAAAUUAUGAACCAUUUUGAAAAGGUCAACCGCAAGUACUACUAAAAUCUUAACAAUUAUUUCCCUAUACUUCAACACAUUACACUCAAAUACAAUUUGCAUAUUCUAGGAUGUGGAUACACAACUGAACAAUCUCAUACGGAUUGAGAAUGAAGAAGAACUGCUUUUCUACCUAAAAGUGACACCAAAAAGACAAAACCCACUUGAAUACCAAUAUGAAAUAAUCUUCAUAUUCGACUCUUCAACAACGAUUGACGUUGAUUCUUCAAAUACAAUCAUGAAACUAGAUCAUUCUCCUGCAACCAGUGAUAUUAACAAUUCAAGCACAAUUGACGAUAGUUCAAACAAAACAUUCACAAAAGGUAAAGACAAGACGUACAUCACAGAUAACCAAGUUUCCAUAAACACCAACGAAACACCUAUACCAAAUGCAAAGAGGGCUCUCUUUCAAAUUCAAGACAGGAAAACUGAAAUUCAUGCAAAGAAGAAAAUGAAGACUGAUGUAAACUAUGGACUCGAUGAACAUAUCAAUGUUCUUACCUCUGAAAAAAACCUCGAGUGAGAAUUCACGUUUGUUUUUGGACAGUAGGCAAUCCAACAGUGUGCCACUUCUAUAGUUCUAAAUAAUAGCAACCUAAUCUACAAAUCUGCAGCAAACUCAUGUUGAGUUUUCGGUUAAGACUCAAUUAUAUGGUGAAUUUGAGUUUCAAAGUUGAAAAGGUUGCUUUAAAUAUUUUGGUAUCUCUUUUGUUGUUACGAAUGUAAAUACUCUAAAAUCACAGAACUCUACUUGGUUGCCACUAAUGUAUCAAACUUGUUUUGUUGUCAAUAAAG